AUUGAACGCUGGCGGCAGGCCUAACACAUGCAAGUCGAACGGCAGCACAGAAGAGCUUGCUCUUUGGGUGGCGCGUGGCGGACGGGUGAGUAAUGUCUGGGAAACUGCCCGAUGGAGGGGGAUAACUACUGGAAACGGUAGCUAAUACCGCAUAACGUCACAAGCCCAAAGUGGGGACCUUCGGGCCUCACACAAUCGGAUGUGCCCAGAUGGGAUUAGCUAGUAGGUGGGGUAAUGGCUCACUCAGGCGACGAUCCCUAGCUGGUCUGAGAGGCUAACCAGCCACACUGGAACUGAGACACGGUCCAGACUCCUACGGGAGGCAGCAGUGGGGAAUAUUGCACAAUGGGCGCAAGCCUGAUGCAGCCAUGCCGCGUGUAUGAAGAAGGCCUUCGGGUUGUAAAGUACUUUCAGCGGGGAGGAAGGCGGUGAGGUUAAUAACCUUGCCGAUUGACGUUACCCGCAGAAGAAGCACCGGCUAACUCCGUGCCAGCCGCCGCUGUAA
Molecule: ribosomal RNA, 505 nt
Filed under: uncultured bacterium
Lineage: Bacteria
Description: partial 16S ribosomal RNA
Rfam family: Bacterial small subunit ribosomal RNA
Source: RNAcentral